This 255-nucleotide ribosomal RNA is filed under the name uncultured bacterium. RNAcentral describes it as "partial 16S ribosomal RNA". It matches the Rfam family "Bacterial small subunit ribosomal RNA", at positions 57 to 305 of the family's 1533-position model. The record is from RNAcentral.
GCAAGCCAAGGAGAAAGUUCUUUUCGGAGAGCGAUUAAACUGGCGGACGGGUGAGUAACGCGUAGGCAACCUGCCCCUAUGCUUGGGAUAACCCUUAGAAAUGAGGGCUAAUACCGGAUAUGAUCGAUUAAUCGCAUGGUUAUUCGAUUAAAGCUGGUUCGCUAGCACAUAGGGAUGGGCCUGCGUUCCAUUAGCUAGUUGGCGAGUUAACAGCUCACCAAGGCGACGAUGGAUAGCUGGUCUGAGAGGAUGAUC